Molecule: ribosomal RNA, 498 nt
Filed under: uncultured bacterium
Lineage: Bacteria
Description: partial 16S ribosomal RNA
Rfam family: Bacterial small subunit ribosomal RNA
Source: RNAcentral
GAUGAACGCUAGCGGCAGGCCUAACACAUGCAAGUCGAGGGGCAUCAUGGCGUAGCAAUACGCUGAUGGCGACCGGCGCACGGGUGCGUAACGCGUAUGGAACCUACCCACCGCAGGGGGAUAACCCGCCGAAAGGCGGACUAAUACCCCAUGGUUCCCCGACCCUGCCUGGGGUUGGGGGUAAAGCCUACGGGCGGCGGUGGAUGGCCCUGCGUGCCAUUAGCUGGCUGGUGGGGUAACGGCCCACCAGGGCGACGAUGGCUAGGGGGUCUGAGAGGACGAUCCCCCACACUGGUACUGAGACACGGACCAGACUCCUACGGGAGGCAGCAGUGGGGAAUAUUGGACAAUGGAUGGAAAUCUGAUCCAGCCAUGCCGCGUGCAGGAAGACAGCCCUAUGGGUUGUAAACUGCUUUUAUAUGGGAGCAAUAAGGUCUACGUGUAGACUGAUGAGAGUACCAUAUGAAUAAGCAUCGGCUAACUCCGUGCCAGCAGCCG